This 433-nucleotide ribosomal RNA is filed under the name uncultured bacterium. RNAcentral's name for it is "partial 16S ribosomal RNA". It matches the Rfam family "Bacterial small subunit ribosomal RNA", at positions 29 to 507 of the family's 1533-position model. The record is from RNAcentral.
AACGAACGCUGGCGGCAUGCCUAACACAUGCAAGUCGAACGAGACCUUCGGGUCUAGUGGCGCACGGGUGCGUAACGCGUGGGAACCUGCCCUUAGGUUCGGAAUAACUCCCCGAAAGGGGUGCUAAUACCGGAUAAUGUCUUCGGACCAAAGAUUUAUCGCCUUUGGAUGGGCCCGCGUUGGAUUAGCUAGUUGGUAGGGUAAAAGCCUACCAAGGCGACGAUCCAUAGCUGGUCUGAGAGGAUGAUCAGCCACACUGGGACUGAGACACGGCCCAGACUCCUACGGGAGGCAGCAGUGGGGAAUAUUGGAAAAUGGGCGAAAGCCUGAUCCAGCAAUGCCGCGUGAGUGAUGAAGGUCUUAGGGUUGUAAAGCUCUUUUACCCGGGAUGAUAAUGACAGUACCGGGAGAAUAAGCUCCGGCUAACUCCGUG